This 240-nucleotide unclassified non-coding RNA is filed under the name soil metagenome. RNAcentral describes it as "partial contains 5.8S ribosomal RNA, internal transcribed spacer 2, and large subunit ribosomal RNA". The record is from RNAcentral.
AACGCACGAGACCUGCGGACCUGCGGAAGGAUCAUUAACAAAUCUUCAAGUCGGCCCUUCCAGUGCUGGUGGUGACACAUGUGCACGUUUGGGUCGCAAAUCCUCACACCUGUGCAUAUAUGACUCUGAGUGUCUUGCCCUCAUUUCGAGGGAGUUUGUCAGUCAAACUGGCACUCGAGUAAUUUUUACACUCUGAAUGGAAAGGAAUGUAUGUCUGCAUAAUAUGCAAAUGAAACAACU